UGCCUACGGGGCGCAGCAGUGAGGAAUAUUGGUCAAUGGGCGGAAGCCUGAACCAGCCAAGUCGCGUGAGGGAAUAAGGCCCUACGGGUCGUAAACCUCUUUUGCCGGGGAGCAAGGGCGGGGACGUGUCCCGGCCCGGAGAGUACCCGGAGAAAAAGCAUCGGCUAACUCCGUGCCAGCAGCCGCGGUAAUACGGAGGAUGCGAGCGUUAUCCGGAUUUAUUGGGUUUAAAGGGUGCGUAGGCGGUCCGUUAAGUCAGCGGUAAAAUUGCGGGGCUCAACCCUGUCGAGCCGUUGAAACUGGCA
Molecule: ribosomal RNA, 305 nt
Filed under: uncultured bacterium
Lineage: Bacteria
Description: bacterial SSU rRNA
Rfam family: Bacterial small subunit ribosomal RNA
Source: RNAcentral